Molecule: long non-coding RNA, 446 nt
Filed under: Mytilus galloprovincialis (Mediterranean mussel)
Lineage: Eukaryota; Metazoa; Mollusca; Bivalvia; Mytilida; Mytilidae
Source: RNAcentral
AAAUUUUGUUAAAAAAAAAUCCUGUUUUUCCCCAUUUACCUAUAAAUUGUCUUAAGUUUUUCUGCCAGGAAACAUUACAUUCACUCUGUGGUAAAAGUUUUUAUAUGACUGCAAAAAUUUUUGGUCGUAUAUUGGUAUCACGUCGUCGUCUUCAGCGGCGUCCAAAGAUGGAUGGUUUCCGGAUAAUAACUUUAGUAUAAGUAAAUGGAAAUCAAUAAAAUGUUAACACAAUAUUUAUAACCACAAAAGGAAGGUUGGGAUUGAUUUUGGAGGCCCAAAACAUACAUUUAUCUUGUUUCAGGACAAUAAGUUGUGUAUUAGUAUUUCAAUUACUCUGAAAUUGUACCAUAAUGUUCAUACUAUUUAGUAGAAGGUUGGGAUUUCUUGUAAGGGUUAUGGGGCAAACAGUCAAGGAAUUAAGGCCUAAAAAGGGGCCAAAACAAGCA